UGGGGAAUAUUGCACAAUGGGCGCAAGCCUGAUGCAGCCAUGCCGCGUGUGUGAAGAAGGCCUUCGGGUUGUAAAGCACUUUCAGCGGGGAGGAAGGCGAUAAGGUUAAUAACCUUGUCGAUUGACGUUACCCGCAGAAGAAGCACCGGCUAACUCCGUGCCAGCAGCCGCGGUAAUACGGAGGGUGCAAGCGUUAAUCGGAAUUACUGGGCGUAAAGCGCACGCAGGCGGUCUGUCAAGUCGGAUGUGAAAUCCCCGGGCUUAACCUGGGAACUGCAUUCGAAACUGGCAGGCUAGAGUCUUGUAGAGGGGGGUAGAAUUCCAGGUGUAGCGGUGAAAUGCGUAGAGAUCUGGAGGAAUACCGGUGGCGGAGGCGGCCCCCUGGACAAAGACUGACGCUCAGGUGCGAAAGCGUGGGGAGCAAACAGG
RNAcentral lists this ribosomal RNA (429 nucleotides) under Chloroflexota bacterium. RNAcentral describes it as "Chloroflexi bacterium partial 16S ribosomal RNA". It matches the Rfam family "Bacterial small subunit ribosomal RNA", at positions 355 to 776 of the family's 1533-position model. Lineage: Bacteria; Bacillati; Chloroflexota. The record is from RNAcentral.